UGAUUUUUUUUAGUUUGGUUUUUGAUUAAUUAUAAAUGUUUGAAAAGUUAUUUUUUGAUUUAUUAGCACUCUUUUUCGCAGUUCCUGUGUAUAUUUACCAGAGCUUUUCACCAAACUUGGGAGAUUAGUUAAGACAUCAGUUUGACUCUGGGGAAUAGGAAGAGAAUCGAUAUUAGAUGGGCAAAGAGCACUAGUAGAAGGAUGGUUCUAGUGGGAUAGUUCUUGAAAAAGGUGGAUGUAUGGGAAAUUGAAGGUCUUCAAUCUGUUGAAGCUUAUUCUUCCAUGAAUAGGCAUUUAUUGGGUUCAGUUUGAUUCUAUAUAUAUUUGUCCUGUUUGAUGAAAGAAAGGAUGAGAAAGAAAGGAUCUCAGAUAAUCAAUCCUCAUUCUUAGUAAGAAUUCUUGUGGUUCCAAAGUAUCAACUAUGGGAGAGCCUGGAAAAUAGAGCUUUCCUUUUCUGGUAGAGGUACAGGUAUGUUCAAGGUCCAAUAUAAGCUCCUGUCGUGGGAAAAGCAAAAACAGUUUGAAAUGGAGAACAGUUGGGAAGUGAUGAAACCAAGAAGAUUGAAGAGAAAAACUAUAGGAAGGUUGGGUUCACCUUACUAAGUGAAACAGAGACAUGGAUGGAAUGAAUGCAAAUUUCAAGAAAAUAAUGCUACCGAAAGGCCAUGGGAACAGAAAAUUGAAGUAAGAAAAGAUAAUGGCAAGAAAUACAGAAAUUUAGGGAAGAAGAGAUUAGGUGUAUGGGAAAGAUGUAGCAAGAAAUUAGUUGGUUGGGCCCUUGGAAUAUUCCAAGAGGCGCAAAUAUGUCUUCAUGAGCAAAAAGAAGAAAACUAUGUUCUAACGAAUAAAAGAUAAUCAUGAGACAAUUUUUCUCAACUUGGGAAUUUUCAUCUUUAGAAUAUGUGAAUUUUAUAGAGGGAGGUGGUGGCUGGUGGCUGUCUAGCCUAAUUUGGUAUAUGUGUAAAUUGGAUUGCAAGAAAUUCUCAUAUGAAGGCAUUCCUAAUAUACUUGUGCAAGACUAUAUUUAUAAAUUGAAUUGCAAGAAAUUCCCUAAA
Molecule: long non-coding RNA, 1055 nt
Organism: Vitis vinifera (wine grape)
Lineage: Eukaryota; Viridiplantae; Streptophyta; Magnoliopsida; Vitales; Vitaceae
Exons: 2
Source: RefSeq, a predicted model, not a curated record